UUCCUUUGAAACUUGAAUUUGUAUUUAUGAGCCUUUAUUCUUCAAUUGUUUGUUUCUAUUUUAUGCUUAUCUAUUCUUAUCAUUAUAUUCCUUUGAAAUUUGAAUUUCUAUUUGUGAGCCUUCUUAUGUCAUGAGGGUUAAUUGUUACUGAUUAUAAUACUUCUUGAUCAGACUCUUGAAUUGUUAUCAGUAAACUUUGGAGCAAAUGAAUUAGGUAAGGC
This 221-nucleotide long non-coding RNA is filed under the name Medicago truncatula (barrel medic). RNAcentral's name for it is "long non-coding RNA (MTRU_LNC007155)". The record is from RNAcentral. Lineage: Eukaryota; Viridiplantae; Streptophyta; Magnoliopsida; Fabales; Fabaceae.